RNAcentral lists this ribosomal RNA (500 nucleotides) under uncultured eukaryote. Its description in RNAcentral is "SSU rRNA". It matches the Rfam family "Eukaryotic small subunit ribosomal RNA", at positions 34 to 537 of the family's 1831-position model. The record is from RNAcentral.
AAUGUCUCAGAUAGCCAUGCAUGUCUCAGUAUAAGCUUCUAUACGGCGAAACUGCGAAUGGCUCAUUAAAACAGUUAUAGUUUAUUUGGUGGUCAGCAAUUACAUGGAUAACCGUGGUAAUUCUAGAGCUAAUACAUGCGCCCAAACCCGACUUCGUGGAAGGGUUGUGUUUAUUAGAUACAGAACCAACCCAGGCUCCGCCUGGCCUUGAGGUGAUUCAUAAUAACCGAACGAAUCGCAUGGCUAUGCCGGCGAUAGACCAUUCAAGUUUCUGACCUAUCAGCUAUCGUCGGUAGGGUAUUGGCCUACCGUGGCAAUGACGGGUAACGGAGAAUUAGGGUUCGAUUCCGGAGAGGGAGCCUGAGAAACGGCUACCACAUCUAAGGAAGGCAGCAGGCGCGCAAAUUACCCAAUCCUGACGCAGGGAGGUAGUGACAAGAGAUAACAAUACAGGGCACACAUGUCUUGUAAUUGGAAUGAGUAAACUUUAAAUCACUUUA